Molecule: transfer RNA, 66 nt
Filed under: Canis lupus familiaris (dog)
Lineage: Eukaryota; Metazoa; Chordata; Mammalia; Carnivora; Canidae
Also listed under: 2 other names
Rfam family: tRNA
About the family: Transfer RNA (tRNA) molecules are approximately 80 nucleotides in length. Their secondary structure includes four short double-helical elements and three loops (D, anti-codon, and T loops).
Source: Rfam by way of RNAcentral
GGCUGGCUCAGCUGGAAGAGCAUGUGACUCUUAAUCUCUCAGUUGUGAGUUCAAGUCCCACAGCCG